This 250-nucleotide long non-coding RNA is filed under the name Lathyrus oleraceus (garden pea). Its description in RNAcentral is "Pisum sativum (pea) long non-coding RNA (PSAT_LNC000631)". Lineage: Eukaryota; Viridiplantae; Streptophyta; Magnoliopsida; Fabales; Fabaceae. The record is from RNAcentral.
GAAGAUCAAGGCAUCAAAUAAAUAUAGCCACAUCCAAGCAAGCACUCCAAUAGCUAGCAGUCUUCAUUACCUUCCAAAGUAUCAGAUGAAAUAUUCUUUAAGCAACUCAGAACAAAACAUCAGACACAAACAAACAACAAAAUAAGCAAUUAAGCACAAAUACAGAGUAGUAGAUGAAUCCAAAGCACUCAAAGGUCUUGCAUCAGAUGAAGGCAAAUUCAGAGAUAGCUCAGCCUCAGAUGUUGGCAUU